ACAUAUCAUAUCACUGUUCUUUAAUUUUCAUUCGUUACACAAGCAUGUAUUCACAUAAUUUAUCUUUUACACACAUUGUACACUUACAAGUAACUCACCCAUUUAUUCAUAUCACACACCAUACGUAGUAUAAUAAAUAACGAAAAAAAAAAAGCAGUAAAAAAAAUAGAAAGAAAUCGAUGAAGAGAAAAAUUUGAGAAUAAAAGAAAUUAGAAAUAGUGAAAAAUAGAAGAGGAUGGAUGAACAUCUGAUUGGUAUUAAGUUUUCCGACGAAUUUCUCACCGGAAUACAUCAAAUUAUAUCGCUGUCACCCCUCCCCAGAUCUGCCGCCACCGUUCAGUCGCUACCAUCCCAGUAGCCAGUGACCUUUCAUCCUUUUCCCCUUUUCCGGCGGUGCCACCAGUCACUCUGGCGUCACUAGAUCUGGCCGACGUAUUUGAACCCAUCACUGCUGUUAUUUUUUUAUUUUUUUUUAAAUGGGGGUUUCACUAGUCUUAUUUUCCUUAAAAAUGGACUUAAAAUUUUG
This 526-nucleotide long non-coding RNA is filed under the name Capsicum annuum. RNAcentral's name for it is "long non-coding RNA (CANN_LNC008407)". The record is from RNAcentral. Lineage: Eukaryota; Viridiplantae; Streptophyta; Magnoliopsida; Solanales; Solanaceae.